UGGGGAAUUUUGGACAAUGGGCGCAAGCCUGAUCCAGCCAUUCCGCGUGCAGGACGAAGGCCUUCGGGUUGUAAACUGCUUUUGUACGGAACGAAAAGCCCUUCUCUAAUACAAGGGGCUAAUGACGGUACCGUAAGAAUAAGCACCGGCUAACUACGUGCCAGCAGCCGCGGUAAUACGUAGGGUGCGAGCGUUAAUCGGAAUUACUGGGCGUAAAGCGUGCGUAGGCGGUUAUAUAAGACAGUUGUGAAAUCCCCGGGCUCAACCUGGGAACUGCAUUUGUGACUGCAUAGCUGGAGUGCGGCAGAGGGGGAUGGAAUUCCGCGUGUAGCAGUGAAAUGCGUAGAUAUGCGGAGGAACACCGAUGGCGAAGGCAAUCCCCUGGGCCUGCACUGACGCUCAGGCACGAAAACGUGGGGAGCAAACA
Molecule: ribosomal RNA, 427 nt
Filed under: uncultured bacterium
Lineage: Bacteria
Description: bacterial SSU rRNA
Rfam family: Bacterial small subunit ribosomal RNA
Source: RNAcentral